This 440-nucleotide ribosomal RNA is filed under the name uncultured bacterium. RNAcentral describes it as "partial 16S ribosomal RNA". It matches the Rfam family "Bacterial small subunit ribosomal RNA", at positions 338 to 795 of the family's 1533-position model. The record is from RNAcentral.
CCUACGGGUGGCAGCAGUGGGGGAUAUUGCACAAUGGGGGGAACCCUGAUGCAGCGACGCCGCGUGGGGGAAGAAGGGCCUCGGCGCGUAAAGCCCUGUCAGCAGGGAAGAAAAUGACGGUACCUGAAGAAGAAGCCCCGGCUAACAACGUGCCAGCAGCCGCGGUACUACGUAGGGGGCAAGCGUUAUCCGGAUUUACUGGGUGUAAAGGGGGCGCAGACGGCGAUGCAAGCGAGGAGGGAAAGCCCGGGGCGCAACCCCUGUACUGCUGGUGGAACUGCGGGGCGGGAGUGCAGGAGGGGCAGGCGGAAUUCCUGGUGUAGCGGUGAAAUGCGUAGAUAUCAGGAGGAACACCGGUGGCGAAGGCGGCCUGCUGGACUGCAACUGACGUUGAGGCCCGAAAGCGUGGGGAGCAAACAGGAUUAGAUACCCCGGUAGUC